CAGACAUCACAUUUGAGUUCCAGGAAGCCAGUAAGAGGGAGAAAAGAAGUGCAUGUUGAUUUACUUUAAAGAAGACUUCUAGGGAGAACCACCUAAAAUUCCCCAACCUAGUCACACAAUCUUAUCUGGCUGCAAUCGCACCUGAAAAAUGCAGUUUUACUCCAAACGGUAAAAAGAAAAGGACUUUCUCCAGGAUUUAAGAUAAACAGUCUCACCGUUUUUGCGUUCUGCACAAUCUUCAUCCAUCUUUAGAAUAUCCUCGUAAGCUGGGGAUCAAUUCAGCUUAGAAGAAACCAAAGGAAGAAUGUGACUUGGAGUAAAAUCUUCAUUCCUAGCGGUUGCAUUGAUAAACCAUCAGCUCCCCAGUCUGAACAGUAGAUGGUUCUCAAGGGUAACGCCCCUUCGCACUUCUCACCCCAGCACGCGGACGAGCGCUGGCACUGGAGGAGCCUCGCGAAGAAAAGCUGAUAACAGGGAAAACUAAUAGAACUCACUUCCUCAGUCUGAACCUGCUUCUAUCUUAUAUUGACUUUUAUUUCCCUAAAUAGAAGAGCUUCCCAUACGUCAUAUACAUUUACAUAUUUCAUCGAGAACAAGAAAUAUCAACUGGCUAGAACUAUAAUUACAACAUAUUUUCUUUUCCUCAACAUGAUGAAAGGUAUUUUAAGUACCUCUUUAUGGGCCCUUUUCUAAGCACUGUACUUAACUGAUUAAGAAACCACGAAAAUCAUUUAAGUAUUUCUAAUGUCUAUAAAUAAUAGUAAUAUUUAACAUUGAAUACUGUUAUAAAUGUUACAUCUAUUUACUCAAUUAAACAUUAAUAAAGCCGUUUUGUUAAGAA
This 841-nucleotide long non-coding RNA is filed under the name Equus caballus (horse). Its description in RNAcentral is "lncRNA (ENSECAG00000058893.1)". Lineage: Eukaryota; Metazoa; Chordata; Mammalia; Perissodactyla; Equidae. The record is from RNAcentral.